AUUGAACGCUGGCGGCAUGCUUUACACAUGCAAGUCGAACGGUAACAGGCCUUCGGGUGCUGACGAGUGGCGAACGGGUGAGUAAUGCAUCGGAACGUGCCCAGAGGUGGGGGAUAACGCAGCGAAAGCUGUGCUAAUACCGCAUGUGAUCUGAGGAUGAAAGCGGGGGACCAGGCAGCAAUGUUUGGCCUCGCGCCUUUGGAGCGGCCGAUGUCAGAUUAGGUAGUUGGUGGGGUAAAGGCCUACCAAGCCGACGAUCUGUAGCUGGUCUGAGAGGACGACCCGCCACACUGGGACUGAGCCACGGCCCAGACUCCUACGGGAGGCAGCAGUGGGGAAUUUUGGACAAUGGGCGCAAGCCUGAUCCAGCAAUGCCGCGUGCGGGAAGAAGGCCUUCGGGUUGUAAACCGCUUUUGUACGGAACGAAAAGGCUCUGGCUAAUACCUGGGGCUGAUGACGGUACCGUAAGAAUAAGCACCGGCUAACUACGUG
RNAcentral lists this ribosomal RNA (492 nucleotides) under uncultured bacterium. RNAcentral describes it as "partial 16S ribosomal RNA". It matches the Rfam family "Bacterial small subunit ribosomal RNA", at positions 30 to 507 of the family's 1533-position model. The record is from RNAcentral.